GGGUGAGUGGUCUCAAUGGUUAAGAUACUCUCCUUAGUAGGGAAAUUGAACGGGUUUGUGAUAGUGGUUCGAUUCCGCUUUCAUCCA
This is a non-coding RNA of Elasticomyces elasticus, 87 nucleotides long. The record is from the annotation of a GenBank genome assembly. NCBI's taxonomy places the organism in Eukaryota, Fungi, Ascomycota, Dothideomycetes, Mycosphaerellales, Teratosphaeriaceae.